RNAcentral lists this ribosomal RNA (465 nucleotides) under uncultured bacterium. Its description in RNAcentral is "bacterial SSU rRNA". It matches the Rfam family "Bacterial small subunit ribosomal RNA", at positions 338 to 795 of the family's 1533-position model. The record is from RNAcentral.
CCUACGGGGGGCUGCAGUAGGGAAUCUUCCGCAAUAGACGAAAGUCUGACGGAGCAACGCCGCGUGAGCGAAGAAGGUCUUCGGAUCGUAAAGCUCUGUUUUUAGGGAAGAACAAGUACGGGAGGAAAUGACCGUACCUUGACGGUACCUAACGAGGAAGCCACGGCUAACUACGUGACAGCAGCCGCGGUAAUACGUAGGUGGCAAGCGUUGUCCGGCAUUAUUGGGCGUAAAGCGCGCGCAGGCGGUGUUUUAAGUCUGAUGUGAAAUCUUGAGGCACAACCGCAAGCGGUCAUUGGAAACUGGGAGAAUUGAGUGCGGAUGAGGAAAGCGCAAUUCCAAGGGAUACGGUGAAAUGCGUCGAGAUGUGGAGGUACACCAGUGGCGAAGGCGGCUUGCUGGUCUGUAACUGACGCUGAGGCGCGAAAGCGUGGGGAGCAAACAGGAUUAGAUACCCUGGUAGUC